UUUCCGUAGGUGAACCUGCGGAAGGAUCAUUAAUGAGUUGUCAUGGGGUUCGAUGCUGGCAGCCAAUUUUUGGAUGCAUGUGCUUGCCCUAAUAAUCAUCUUCCAAACACCUGUGCACAUUUUUGAGGGAGUCUUGAGUUGGUUGCCGCUCUUGGGUGAUUUUCUCACAUUCCCUUAAAUCAUUAUACGCUAUUAACAAUGUUGAACGUGCUCUGUGCCGCAAGGCUAUUAAUAUAAUACAACUUUUAACAACGGAUCUCUUGGCUCUC
This 269-nucleotide unclassified non-coding RNA is filed under the name plant metagenome. Its description in RNAcentral is "partial contains small subunit ribosomal RNA, internal transcribed spacer 1, and 5.8S ribosomal RNA". The record is from RNAcentral.